Molecule: long non-coding RNA, 321 nt
Filed under: Setaria viridis
Lineage: Eukaryota; Viridiplantae; Streptophyta; Magnoliopsida; Poales; Poaceae
Description: long non-coding RNA (SVIR_LNC009422)
Source: RNAcentral
CCACGGUUUAAACUCGAGGUUGACUUUGAUGGCGAUUGUCUACAUAUAUAAGAUUCUUACAACUAGAGUUGUAUAAAAAAGGUGGGGUCAUUUUUGGGGUUGUUCAGGGUUCACUUGGAGAGUUAUUUACUUCUGAAUGUUUUUUUAUCUCCUCCAAAAUUACCCAUUAUGUGCAUUAGGACUUAUAUUUCUUUUAUUCCUUUAAACCGAUUUCUUAGCCAAAAUUUGGUUUCAGAAGCAAACAGUAACAAAUGGUAUUGAGAAAAGUACAGCACCUUACUUGUGUCAUUACUAAGUUACUGUAAGAAUUUGGGAGCCAUC